Rosa rugosa (rugosa rose) is the source of this 961-nucleotide long non-coding RNA. RefSeq lists it as uncharacterized. The transcript has 4 exons. Lineage: Eukaryota; Viridiplantae; Streptophyta; Magnoliopsida; Rosales; Rosaceae. The record is from RefSeq and is a predicted model, not a curated record.
UUCAUUAUAGCUCACAGAAAAUAGAUAUUUGUUUAAUCUCUAAUGGUGGAAAGAUCAGAUUACAUGUGGUGGAGGGAUCCUUCGGAGAAGAAGUAAUAGAAUUGAAUUGAAGAAAGUAAGUAGUUAAAGCAGUUCUUAAGAGAUUGUCCUGUGUUCCACUAGUAGUCAACUUGGUAGUUAAGGUAAGCCAGUUAGGAAGAGCCAAUUUUCCCAAGAGAUUAUUUUCAUUUCUUGUCUGGAUUUGGGUAUUUACGAUCAUCCCAGAUGAGUUGAUAUCUUCUGAUGUAUUACAAAUUGUUCAAAUUCUUCAGUUAAUGAACCCGGAUUGAAGCUAAUAUAAGAAACACGGUAAUAUAAUGUAAAAUUUAGCUGUGGCUAUGAUAAAAACUAAUUAUAACUAUCCUAAAGUAGAAUGGGGUUUUGUAUAUCUGGGUAGAAGAAGAAGAAGAGAUUUCGAAUCGCAUUUUCAGAGUAGCACAUCAAAGAAGUCUUUUCCAUAACUAUUUCCCAUCCACUGUUAUUCAAGUCGACAUCAGUGCUUCAUUGUCGAUUUCUACAGAAAUCAACCUUGCAGAUACAUAAAAGAGCCAAGAGAGCAGAGGAACCAGGGACGGGGAAGCUCUCAGGGAAAUCAUCAGUCUGGGCAGUCCAACUAAUUCGAUUUCUUGAGAAGGCUUAAAAGUGUCAAAGAUCGGCUUAGAGAGAUGACACUGUGGUUUGAACAAGUCAUGCUUGAAGAUGAUGAUGAACGAGUUGGGGAAAACGUACCAGAAAAUUAACAACAAGAUCAGAUUAUCAACACUGAACUUACUGAUAAGCAUGUUCAAGGUCUUGAAGACACUGCAGUCACUAAGAUACUGAUCUUAUUUGAGGAGAUGAAUUCUUGGUUUCAGACUUGGCAUCUCAUUGACUCAUUUGCAAAAUCCCAGCAACCACAAGAAUUCUGUCUCUCUUAGGCAAG